GAUGAACGCUGGCGGCGUGCCUAAUACAUGCAAGUCGAGCGAACAGACGAGGAGCUUGCUCCUCUGACGUUAGCGGCGGACGGGUGAGUAACACGUGGAUAACCUACCUAUAAGACUGGGAUAACUUCGGGAAACCGGAGCUAAUACCGGAUAAUAUAUUGAACCGCAUGGCUCAAUAGUGAAAGACGGUUUUGCUGUCACUUAUAGAUGGAUCCGCGCCGCAUUAGCUAGUUGGUAAGGUAACGGCUUACCAAGGCAACGAUGCGUAGCCGACCUGAGAGGGUGAUCGGCCACACUGGAACUGAGACACGGUCCAGACUCCUACGGGAGGCAGCAGUAGGGAAUCUUCCGCAAUGGGCGAAAGCCUGACGGAGCAACGCCGCGUGAGUGAUGGAGGUCUUCGGAUCGUAAAACUCUGUUAUUAGGGAAGAACAAAUGUGUAAGUAACUAUGCACGUCUUGACGGUACCUAAUCAGAAAGCCACGGCUAACUACGUG
RNAcentral lists this ribosomal RNA (497 nucleotides) under uncultured bacterium. RNAcentral describes it as "partial 16S ribosomal RNA". It matches the Rfam family "Bacterial small subunit ribosomal RNA", at positions 28 to 507 of the family's 1533-position model. The record is from RNAcentral.